Heterocephalus glaber (naked mole-rat) is the source of this 1104-nucleotide long non-coding RNA. RefSeq lists it as uncharacterized. The record is from RefSeq and is a predicted model, not a curated record. NCBI's taxonomy places the organism in Eukaryota, Metazoa, Chordata, Mammalia, Rodentia, Bathyergidae.
GUCGACUUCAGCAGGUUCCGGGGUGAGCGCAUCCAAAGCCGCCCCCACUCGCCCGCCCCUACCUUUGAGGGGUUACUGCCUCCCCCUCCAUUCCAUUCACACCCCCACUCCAGCGCGUGUCCCCGCUCCAGGGACUGUCUCCACGGCCCUGGGCCCCCUCCCCCCACCUGGCCCGGACUCCUUCCGCCCACGCGGCCCCCAUAUGCUGGGAAGAGCCUCCCACUCCCCAUCUGUCAAGCUACUUCCUUGCCCCCAUUCCAGGCUCCGCCGACAUCCUCUCCUCCAGGAAGCCGGUCCUGAUUGAGAGGAAGGCAGUUCAUCAGCAACUGCUGUCACUCCAUCUUCCUAACCCAUCAAGCGCCUGACUACUUCUUACCACUUCUGCAGCUGUCACCCUGGUCCAAGCCAUCAUCGUCUCUGUCCUGCACUGCUGCAAGAGUCUCCCUGAUUUUGCUUUUGUCCCCCUACAGUCUAUUCCUCAUGCAGCAUUGUGGGAUCCUGCUAAAAUGUAAGUUCAUGACACCUGGCUCCUGGCCUUAGGAAGUCUGGCUGUCUGGGAGACCUGGACAGCUAUUUCUCUACUCACCACAUGAAUGAACAAGCUGCUUGUUUCACCCUGCCCCACUCUCAGGGUACUGGAGAAAGUUAAAGCUGUGUAGAGGGAGACAGAUCUCGCCAAAGAAAGUGGGCCUGCUGCUGGACGGACCCUGGGUGUUUUUGAGCUCUUGCAUCCACUGUUCCCACUCUGAGAAACACUUUUCCUGGCUCUUCUGAGGUUGGUUCAGUCGCCUUCAUCCAUGUAUCAGUUCGUAUCUCAAAUCCUGUCCUGUCUAAAAUAAUUCACCCACUCCCUGCCUUUCUCUACACUUGUUUUGUUUUCUUGUAAAGCACAUAUCACCAUCUGAAAUUAUCUUCUACUGGCUUAUCAAUAAUGAUGUUUUUAAAAAAAUAAAUAAAUAAAGUAGAGAAUUGCAACAACAACAACAACAAAAUAAUGUUUUUGUAAACUUCCCUGGACUGGAUUGUAAGCUCCAUGAGGCUGGGCCCCUUGCCUAUCUUGUUCAUCUCUGUAUUUUCUAUGUCUAGAUUAGUGCCCAGCACAUA